GCCCCCAUCGUCUAGCGGCCCAGGACACAGCCCUUUCAAGGCUGCGGCGAGGGUUCGAAUCCCUCUGGGGGCG
RNAcentral lists this transfer RNA (73 nucleotides) under Candidatus Ozemibacteraceae bacterium. RNAcentral's name for it is "tRNA-Glu". It matches the Rfam family "tRNA". From Rfam's summary of the family: Transfer RNA (tRNA) molecules are approximately 80 nucleotides in length. The record is from RNAcentral. RNAcentral also lists the same sequence under 1 other name. Lineage: Bacteria; Candidatus Rifleibacteriota; Candidatus Ozemibacteria; Candidatus Ozemibacteraceae.